Molecule: long non-coding RNA, 2383 nt
Filed under: Manduca sexta (tobacco hornworm)
Lineage: Eukaryota; Metazoa; Arthropoda; Insecta; Lepidoptera; Sphingidae
Description: uncharacterized LOC115445932
Source: RNAcentral
AUCAUUGUUUGCUUUUAAAAAAGCCACGACUGUGUACGUAAGAAUAAUCGCAGCAGUAAUAAUAGGUUUAUCGUGUAGACAUUGUUCACCAAUUGUAACCUUGAACUAACUUCUCAACAAUUUAUCCUCAAAGGUACACUUAAAGUUACCUAUAAUACACCUGAGCAAAUUGCCCGAACAUUUCUAACUCAAGGUGUAAUGUGAAAAAGAAAGACACAUCACCUUUUCAUUCCCAUAGGGAUAGGCAGCGGUGCAAAAGAUCACCUAAUUUUCACCUUGUGUCUUCGGUCCUAUAAUGUGAUAGGGGGUGAGAUCACCGUCAUAUCGGCAUAAAUUCUAGACUCUAGAUUGAUACUUAACAAAAAUCCCAAUAUCACUGCUCGACCUGGGACUCGAACCCAGAACCUCGGUUUGAUACCGCGUAUGCGUGACAUAAUAUAUCUACGCUACCGAGACAAUCACCAAGGUGUAGUAUGACCUCCGGUAGAUUAGAAUACUAAAAAUGGACCCAACAUAACCCAACACAAAAACACCGCUAAAAAGUGUGAGUAAAACAAAAUACAUAAUUUCGUUCACAUUGACGACAUAAUUAUUGUAGUUUAAAAACAUACUGUUAACGAAUUUUUUAAAUAUUUUUAUGAGAAAAAUCUGGUAGUAUAUUCGUUAAAAUAAAAAAAUCUAAACCGGGUAGUAAAUAACUGAGUUCUAAGGUUAAAAAAAAUACAAAUAAAUACACGUCGAAUUGAUAACCACCUCAUUUUUUUAAGUUAAAAAUAGCAAAACAUUUGAACCUGCAGUAUCACAAUAGAACACAGCAGCACCAAUUUAUUUAUCUCCAGUCAUUCGUAAAACACAACACUCUUGACAAAAAUUAAUUAACUAGAAAUACUUGAACUCUUUCUAAAGAAAUAUCGCUAAGCAAAAAUCCCGUUUCCAAAAAGGCUUCUAAAAGGAAAAAGACCAUUUAAAUCAACAUGAUGUAAUGUGUCACUAUAAACGCAGCGCAGCUCAGAUGUGACUGAACUUAUCUAAGGAACGGACGUGUUGUGAUCGUUAAUAAUCCUUAAUACGGAGUAAAUAAAGAUGACCUCGACGAUACUAGUAAUUGCAAUGCUGCUCGCGCAAGCAAUAAGCGCCCCUCAAAACGGCGUGAGCACAAUAAAAUCACCAGUGAACAUGACCUUAGAAGAACUAAACUACCUCCUUCAAGUAAGGAGCGGUCAACCGCAAACUCAGCCUAAAGUGCUCUCCCCAUGCGCGCGGGCAAUCUUAGGGUGCUGCCGAGGCAAAAUAAUGAAUCCCAGUUGUUCAGAAUCACUGAACUGCGGUGCACUUUUCUUCGACGUAAAUCCUUGUGAAGAAAGGUUUGUACAUGAAGCCUUGAAAGCGGCUAGGAGUUUUUACGAACAAUUAAAUAAUGUUUCUACGUAGUGCAGUUUUUUAUAAAGAGUGUUCUGUUGGCUGAUACUUGAGAACAAUAAUGAUUCGCCGGUGCCAAGAGUUUUUGUUAUAUUAAUUAGUAGUAAGAUGAAGUAUGAAUGUUGUUAAACCUGUUUUGAUGUACAGAUAUUAAACUUUAGUUGGCGAGUUGUAUGUAAUCGAAAUAAAUGUUUAAGCCUAAAGUAGAUAUAAGGAGAAACAUCUACAAUGAUAAUUUAUUUUUAUAUAAUAAUUUGUGUGGAUUAUAAGCUAGAUUGUUACGCCAAGAAUAUUAAAGGCCUAUUUCAUAAAAUUCAAGUAAGUACCUAAAUGUUAUCUGCCAGGAAUGACUAAACUUGCUUUUUUUACACGUGCAUGAUAAAGUGACCCUACUACAUCUGAUGGUAAGUGGAGUGGGGUUGAAUAGAAUGUCGACUGACGAGAGAUGAUUACCCCUCGGCAGUCGACACAAUUAUGCCGGCUUGUUGGAACCAGAUAUACCCAGGCUGAUCCCGGAACGCAACACUUACCUGGGCCACUGUGGCGCGUUUUAACAUCUUGUGUAUGGUGGUCGCUAUCCGGCCAGAUAUAAAAUAUAUUCUACAACCAGCAUUUGUUGUUUAUGUGUUGAAUGCACUCUUUUGUUUACAAUUUAUUUAAGAGCUUGACUAUUGUAUUUACCUGUCUAUAUUAUAUUCCUCGAUUAGCGUUUACUCAGACAUGAAAUAGGCCCUAUAGUUUCAUUACCAUUAUAAAUAAUUGUUUUAAUUAUUUGCCCAUAAUUUAUAAGAACAUUUAUUGUAUACGGAACUUACUACACUUUUAUAAAACAAUGUUUACUUGGCAUGACGCCAAAAUAACUGCAGGCAACAAGUGGGCAAUCAAAUAACAUGAAAUGUUAAACAUAAUUGCCAUAAAAACCUGUAAAUUGUGUUCGAAAUUUCCUACUACAUUUAUAUUUGUA